Molecule: transfer RNA, 71 nt
Filed under: Nanorana ventripunctata (spot-bellied plateau frog)
Lineage: Eukaryota; Metazoa; Chordata; Amphibia; Anura; Dicroglossidae
Description: tRNA-Gln
Rfam family: tRNA
About the family: Transfer RNA (tRNA) molecules are approximately 80 nucleotides in length. Their secondary structure includes four short double-helical elements and three loops (D, anti-codon, and T loops). Further hydrogen bonds mediate the characteristic L-shaped molecular structure. tRNAs have two regions of fundamental functional importance: the anti-codon, which is responsible for specific mRNA codon recognition, and the 3' end, to which the tRNAs corresponding amino acid is attached (by aminoacyl-tRNA synthetases). tRNAs cope with the degeneracy of the genetic code in two manners: having more than one tRNA (with a specific anti-codon) for a particular amino acid; and 'wobble' base-pairing, i.e. permitting non-standard base-pairing at the 3rd anti-codon position.
Source: RNAcentral
UAAGGAGUAGCAUAACGGAAGUGCGAAGGGCUUUGAUCUCUUAGGUGUAGGUUCAAUUCCUAUCUUUUUAA